This 462-nucleotide ribosomal RNA is filed under the name uncultured bacterium. RNAcentral describes it as "partial 16S ribosomal RNA". It matches the Rfam family "Bacterial small subunit ribosomal RNA", at positions 28 to 507 of the family's 1533-position model. The record is from RNAcentral.
GACGAACGCUGGCGGCGUGCUUAACACAUGCAAGUCGAGCGGAAAGGCCCUUCGGGGUCCUCGAGCGGCGAACGGGUGAGUAACACGUGAGUAACCUGCCCCCGACUUUGGGAUAACCCUCGGAAACGGGGGCUAAUACCGGAUACGACACAGCUUCGCAUGGGGUCUGUGUGGAAAGUUUUUCGGCUUUGGUUGGGUUCGCGGCCAAUCAGCUCGUUGGUGGGGUGAUGGCCUACGAAGGCGACGACGGGUAGCCGGCCUGGGAGGUGGGCCGGCCACCCUGGGCCUGAGGGACGGCCCAGACUCCAACGGGAGGCAGCAGUGGAGAAUAUUACACAAUGGGCGGAAGCCAGAUGCGGCGACGCCGCGUGAGGGAUGACGGCCUUCGGGUUGUAAACCUCUUUCAGCAGAGACGAGGCGUAAGUGACGGUACCUGCAGAAGAAGCGCCGGCCAACUACGUG